RNAcentral lists this unclassified non-coding RNA (297 nucleotides) under Hevea brasiliensis (rubber tree). The record is from RNAcentral. Lineage: Eukaryota; Viridiplantae; Streptophyta; Magnoliopsida; Malpighiales; Euphorbiaceae.
UCGGCGCAUUCUCUAUGCGAUGUAUGAAAACGGCUUUGAGUGGAACAAACCGUACCGCAAAUCGGCACGCACCGUCGGUGACGUGAUCGGUAAAUACCAUCCGCACGGUGACCAGUCGGUCUACGACGCGAUGGUGCGCAUGGCGCAGGAUUUUUCCAUGCGCGUGCCGCUGAUCGACGGGCAGGGCAACUUCGGCUCGGUCGACGGCGAUAUGGCGGCAGCGAUGCGUUACACCGAGUCGCGCCUCGAGAAGGUCGCGCACUCGCUGCUCGAUGACAUCGACAAGGAUACGGUCGA